Molecule: ribosomal RNA, 460 nt
Filed under: uncultured bacterium
Lineage: Bacteria
Description: partial 16S ribosomal RNA
Rfam family: Bacterial small subunit ribosomal RNA
Source: RNAcentral
CCUACGGGAGGCAGCAGUGAGGAAUAUUGGGCAAUGGACGCAAGUCUGAACCAGCCAUGCCGCGUGCAGGAAGACGGCCCUAUGAGUUGUAAACUGCUUUUGUACGAGGGUACACGCAGUUUCGUGUAUCUGUCUGAAAGUAUCGUACGUGUAAGGGUCGGCUAACUCCGUGCCAGCAGCCGAGGUAAUACGGAGGGUUCAAGCAUUAUCCGGAUUUAUUGGGUUUAAAGGUUGCCUAGGCGGUCGGAUAAGUAAGAGGUGAACUCCCGAGGCUCAACGUCGGAAUUGCCUCUGAUACUGUUAGGCUAGAGAGUAGUUGCGGUAGGCGGAAUGUAUGGUGUAGCGGUGAAAUGCUUAGAGAUCAUACAGAACACCGAUGGCGAAGGCAGCUUACCAAGCUACUUCUGACGUUGAGGCACGAAAGCGUGGGGAGCAAACAGGAUUAGAUACCCCUGUAGUC